Paramuricea clavata is the source of this 665-nucleotide non-coding RNA. Lineage: Eukaryota; Metazoa; Cnidaria; Anthozoa; Malacalcyonacea; Plexauridae. The record is from the annotation of a GenBank genome assembly.
GGCAAUUUUACUGAAUGGGGAGCAUUGGGUGUCAAUGGGUUAACCAGACUUCUUGCCCAUGUCUCUGGUGAAACCAUUUAGCCAUAAUGCACCCUACUUUGAUAUUUUACUCUAUCUAAUGCCAGAAUAAUUAACAUUAUAAGGAGAAUUGUUGGGAACUGUGAUUGUUUUAAUUAAACUAGAUUGAUUAUCUAGACCCAAUGCCUAAAAUAAGGAGACGACCAUUUGGAUAGAGUUUCCCGAAGAAUGAAGCAGAUUCUUUGUUCUUAAAUAGUUAAAACAAUAACACUUUUAAAUGGAGGGGAACAAGAUAGUUGUAAAUAUUACAUAAUGUAUUAUAAAUAGUUGUAAUUAGAAAAUAUUACUUGACAAAACAAAACAAUCAGAUUACUGUAGGUUGAAAAUAAUGUUAAUAAUAUAGUAAGCCAAAUAGCAAUAUUACAACAAUAUAUAGAAAGUAAGAAAUGAAAACCCCUAUCACAUAUUUAAUUACUCAUCUGCAAGUUUAAAACAAUACAAUACAAUACAAUACAAUACAAUACAAUACAAUACAAUACAAUACAAUACAAUAUAUAUACAAUAUAUAUACAAUACGAUACGAUACGAUACGAUACGAUACGAUACGAUACGAUACGAUACAAUAUACAAUACAAUAUACAAUACAA